This 492-nucleotide ribosomal RNA is filed under the name uncultured bacterium. Its description in RNAcentral is "partial 16S ribosomal RNA". It matches the Rfam family "Bacterial small subunit ribosomal RNA", at positions 29 to 507 of the family's 1533-position model. The record is from RNAcentral.
AGUGAACGCUGGCGGUAGGCCUAACACAUGCGAGUCGAACGGCAGCACAGUAAGUGCUUGCGCUUACGGGUGGCGAGUGGCGGACGGGGGAGGGAUACAUCGGAAGCUACUUUUUCGUGGGGGAGAACGUAGGGAAACUUACGCUAAUACCGCAUACGACCUACGGGUGAAAGCUUGGGAUCUUCGGACCUUGCGCGAUUGAAUGAGCCGAGGUCGGAUUAGCUAGUUGGCGGGGUAAAAGCCCACCAAGGCGACGAUCCGUAGCUGGUCUGAGAGGAUGAUCAGCCACACUGGAACUGAGACACGGUCCAGACUCCUACGGGAGGCAGCAGUGGGGAAUAUUGGACAAUGGGCGCAAGCCUGAUCCAGCCAUACCGCGUGGGUGAAGAAGGCCUUCGGGUUGUAAAGCCCUUUUGUUGGGAAAGAAAAGCAGCAGGUUAAUACCCCGCUGUUCUGACGGUACCCACAGAAUAAGCACCGGCUAACUUCGUG